RNAcentral lists this ribosomal RNA (506 nucleotides) under uncultured bacterium. Its description in RNAcentral is "partial 16S ribosomal RNA". It matches the Rfam family "Bacterial small subunit ribosomal RNA", at positions 28 to 523 of the family's 1533-position model. The record is from RNAcentral.
GAUGAACGCUAGCUACAGGCUUAACACAUGCAAGUCGAGGGGUAACAAGAGAAAAGCUUGCUUUUCUUGUUGGCGACCGGCGCACGGGUGAGUAACGCGUAUCCAACCUGCCUAUAACUAGGGAAUAACCUUGCGAAAGUAAGACUAAUACCCUAUGAUUUCCUUUGAUGGCAUCAGAUUAGGAAUAAAGAUUUAUCGGUUAUAGAUGGGGAUGCGUCUGAUUAGCUUGUUGGCGGGGUAACGGCCCACCAAGGCAACGAUCAGUAGGGGUUUUGAGAGGAAGGUCCCCCACAUUGGAACUGAGACACGGUCCAAACUCCUACGGGAGGCAGCAGUGAGGAAUAUUGGUCAAUGGGCGGAAGCCUGAACCAGCCAAGUAGCGUGCAGGAUGACGGCCCUAUGGGUUGUAAACUGCUUUUAUACAGGAAUAAAGUUAGCCACGUGUGGUUAUUUGUAGGUACUGUAUGAAUAAGGACCGGCUAAUUCCGUGCCAGCCGCCGCAGUAA